RNAcentral lists this unclassified non-coding RNA (229 nucleotides) under Hevea brasiliensis (rubber tree). The record is from RNAcentral. Lineage: Eukaryota; Viridiplantae; Streptophyta; Magnoliopsida; Malpighiales; Euphorbiaceae.
GCUACAUCUGGGUCACUCGUUGGAAUCGAAAUCAUGUAGUCAUCCGAAGGGCUCCUCCGCCUCAACUCGUGAGUCAGGUUCAUCUCUGACUUGGCCUCAUUUGGCAUCCACACCACGCAAUUCUGUAGUGCCAGUGUCUUUGAGAGCUCUACCAGAGUGGUGUAUAGUAUCGUAUGUCGAUCAAGUGAUUUCCGAAUCUCUUGGGUCAGCAUCCGCACGUGCCAGCUUG